This 74-nucleotide transfer RNA is filed under the name Myotis brandtii (Brandt's bat). It matches the Rfam family "tRNA". Rfam says of the family: Transfer RNA (tRNA) molecules are approximately 80 nucleotides in length. Their secondary structure includes four short double-helical elements and three loops (D, anti-codon, and T loops). Further hydrogen bonds mediate the characteristic L-shaped molecular structure. tRNAs have two regions of fundamental functional importance: the anti-codon, which is responsible for specific mRNA codon recognition, and the 3' end, to which the tRNAs corresponding amino acid is attached (by aminoacyl-tRNA synthetases). tRNAs cope with the degeneracy of the genetic code in two manners: having more than one tRNA (with a specific anti-codon) for a particular amino acid; and 'wobble' base-pairing, i.e. permitting non-standard base-pairing at the 3rd anti-codon position. Lineage: Eukaryota; Metazoa; Chordata; Mammalia; Chiroptera; Vespertilionidae. The record is from Rfam by way of RNAcentral.
GCUGGUGUGGCUCAGUGGACGGAGCAUCAGCCUGGGGAACUGAAGGGUCCCGGGUUCGAUUCCGGUCAAGGGCA